UCCAGACUCCUACGGGAGGCAGCAGUGGGGAAUAUUGCACAAUGGGGGAAACCCUGAUGCAGCGACGCCGCGUGAGCGAAGAAGUACCUCGGUAUGUAAAGCUCUCUCAGCAGGGAAGAAGAUGACGGUACCUGACCAAGAAGCUCCGGCUAAAUACGUGCCAGCAGCCGCGGUAAUACGUAUGGAGCAAGCGUUAUCCGGAUUUACUGGGUGUAAAGGGAGCGCAGGCGGCCUUGCAAGUCUGGAGUGAAAGCCCGGGGCCCAACCCCGGAACUGCUCUGGAAACUGUGCGGCUAGAGUACUGGAGGGGCAGGCGGAAUUCCUAGUGUAGCGGUGAAAUGCGUAGAUAUUAGGAGGAACACCAGUGGCGAAGGCGGCCUGCUGGACAGUAACUGACGUUGAGGCUCGAAAGCGUGGGGAGCAAACAGGAUUAGAUACCCUAGUA
Molecule: ribosomal RNA, 445 nt
Filed under: uncultured bacterium
Lineage: Bacteria
Description: bacterial SSU rRNA
Rfam family: Bacterial small subunit ribosomal RNA
Source: RNAcentral